UUGGCCUCAAACUAACUCUGGUGAUUUUUUUCCUAAGCUUCUGGCUCCCUCUGGUUCUUUGGCUCUAACUGCCUCUGCUGACAAGCACUGAACUACAUGAACUCACUAACAUACUCCCCUCCACGGCACUGCACUCACUGCACUGAAAUGGACUCCUUUAAGUGAAUUCAACUGAACUCAAGUGAACUACCAUCUCCGUCUUGUAUCUUCUCAGGAGAGUUUGUGUAUAGUAUUCUGAUUCAUUCUAUCAAAUCUUUCUCUGAUUAGUCUCUUUGUGUGCCCCUCAAUUAGAUGUCACUUUCAACCACGGCUCCUUCCUACUACAAAUUAACCUUAACUUCAUCUUUUGGGAUUAAAGAUGUGUACUAAGGGUGUGUCUGUAUUCCAGUUUGAGGGCUUUGAAUUCCUCUACAUGAUUUAUUGGUAUAAACAUUGCAAAUUCAAAGAAGAUAAAAAUCCAGUACUAAAUGUCACAGGUGCCAAGUAGCACUUUGACAUUAAAUUUUAUACAAAAGAUGUUCGAUAUAGGGGCAAGCUCUCAAGUAAAUCCAACAAUCUUAUAUAUCGACAAAGAAUCCCAAAACGUACAAUAUUCACUCAGUAAGAGCCUGCCCAACGGUCAGGCAGUGGUGGUGCACGCGUGUAAUCCCAGUACCUGGGAGGCAGAGGCAGGCGG
Mus pahari (shrew mouse) is the source of this 676-nucleotide long non-coding RNA. RefSeq lists it as uncharacterized. Lineage: Eukaryota; Metazoa; Chordata; Mammalia; Rodentia; Muridae. The record is from RefSeq and is a predicted model, not a curated record. The transcript is spliced from 4 exons.